GCCUGGGUGGCUCAGUCGGUUAAGCGUCUGACUUUGGCUCAGGUCGUGAUCUCAGGGUUCAUGGGUUCAAACCCUGUGUUGGGCU
Molecule: transfer RNA, 85 nt
Organism: Felis catus (domestic cat)
Lineage: Eukaryota; Metazoa; Chordata; Mammalia; Carnivora; Felidae
Rfam family: tRNA
About the family: Transfer RNA (tRNA) molecules are approximately 80 nucleotides in length. Their secondary structure includes four short double-helical elements and three loops (D, anti-codon, and T loops).
Source: Rfam